RNAcentral lists this ribosomal RNA (301 nucleotides) under uncultured bacterium. RNAcentral describes it as "partial 16S ribosomal RNA". It matches the Rfam family "Bacterial small subunit ribosomal RNA", at positions 509 to 807 of the family's 1533-position model. The record is from RNAcentral.
CAGUCGCCACGGUAAUACGUAGGUGGCAAGCGUUGUCCGGAAUUAUUGGGCGUAAAGGGCUCGCAGGCGGUUUCUUAAGUCUGAUGUGAAAGCCCCCGGCUCAACCGGGGAGGGUCAUUGGAAACUGGGAAACUUGGGUGCAGAAGAGGAGAGUGGAAUUCCACGUGUAGCGGUGAAAUGCGUAGAGAUGUGGAGGAACACCGGUGGCGAAGGCGACUCUCUGGUCUGUAACUGACGCUGAGGAGCGGAAGCGUGGGGAGCGAACAGGAUUAGAUACCCGUGUAGUCCCUGUCUCUUAUAC